UCUCCGUUGGUGAACCAGCGGAGGGAUCAUUACAGAGUUUUCACAACUCCCAACCCUUGCGAACCGUAACCCUUCUGUUCUCGUUGUAUCCGGCGGGGGGACUGGGGGGCCCGAAACGGCGUCCCCGCCCCGCCCGCCGGGGGCGGCGGGCCCUACGAACCUUAAUAUCUCAACCCCAACAAACCGUCUGAGAAAAAAAACAAAAUAAUCAAAACUUCCAACAUCAGAUCUCUUGGCUCUGGCAUAGAAGAAGAAAGCAGCAGAACGGCAGUGCAGACC
RNAcentral lists this unclassified non-coding RNA (279 nucleotides) under plant metagenome. Its description in RNAcentral is "partial contains small subunit ribosomal RNA, internal transcribed spacer 1, and 5.8S ribosomal RNA". The record is from RNAcentral.